RNAcentral lists this non-coding RNA (28 nucleotides) under Homo sapiens (human). Lineage: Eukaryota; Metazoa; Chordata; Mammalia; Primates; Hominidae. The record is from RNAcentral.
UACUACCUGAUUGGUUGGGUGUGACCUA